Molecule: ribosomal RNA, 518 nt
Filed under: Klebsiella oxytoca
Lineage: Bacteria; Pseudomonadati; Pseudomonadota; Gammaproteobacteria; Enterobacterales; Enterobacteriaceae
Description: bacterial SSU rRNA
Rfam family: Bacterial small subunit ribosomal RNA
Source: RNAcentral
GGUGCCCAGCCCAUGAUUAUAUCACAUGCAGUCGAACGGUAGCACAGAGAGAAUUUAUCUCGGGUGACGAGUGGCGGACGGGUGAGUAAUGUCUGGGAAACUGCCUGAUGGAGGGGGAUAACUACUGGAAACGGUAGCUAAUACCGCAUAAACGUCGCAAGACCAAAGAGGGGGACCUUCGGGCCUCUUGCCAUCAGAUGUGCCCAGAUGGGAUUAGCUAGUAGGUGGGGUAACGGCUCACCUAGGCGACGAUCCCCUAGCUGGUCUGAGAGGAUGACCAGCCACACUGGAACUGAGACACGGUCCAGACUCCUACGGGAGGCAGCAGUGGGGAAUAUUGCACAAUGGGCGCAAGCCUUGAUGCAGCCCAUGCCGCGUGUAUGAAAGAAGGGCCUUUCGGUUUGUAAAAGUACUUUUCAGCGGGGAGGAAAGGCGUUGAGGUUAAUAACCUUUGUCGAUUGACGUUUACCCGGCAGGAAGAAAGCACCGGCUAAACUCCGUGCCCAGCAGCCGCGGUU